RNAcentral lists this long non-coding RNA (632 nucleotides) under Pongo abelii (Sumatran orangutan). RNAcentral describes it as "lincRNA". Lineage: Eukaryota; Metazoa; Chordata; Mammalia; Primates; Hominidae. The record is from RNAcentral.
CCGGCAGCGGCAGCUGCGCCGCCAAAGCCCCGGGCCCCAGCGGCCCCCCACCCCUCACUCGCGCGCUCCCACACUGCCUCCCCCUCCCCGGGGGAAGGCCUUUUAAUUUAUUUAUUCUUCUGGGACUGGGGUGGGGGUCUUGGCUGGCGGGGGAGGGGGGUCUCCCCGGGCUCUACCUCCCGCGGCCGGGACUACCCUCAGAGCCGCGACCGCCGCGGCGUGCGUCCCGGGCCUGCAAAACUGUUUCCAAACUGCCCGGGCCGGAGGCGGGCGCGCGGGGACCCGGGGAGAUGGUUGGGGUCUGGGGGGCCGAGGGUGUGUGUGGACGCUGGGAGCCGCGGGGGAAAGCCGGCGUCGACUCAGAGGAGUUGCAAUCGAGGUCCGGGAGUGGCGGCGGCCAAUCAGCGCGCGGCUUCCAUUUUAGCAGUAAACAGUCCUCAGCGAAGCCGCCUUUUUGCCUACCCAACCCUGGAAAGUUUGCAGAAGUGGAAGGAGCAGAACGUGAGGGUGUAACUUACAAAAAGGUUCUGGGCCGGAGAAGGGGCGACGUUCGGGCACCCCCCGAAUGGACAAUCUUUCCUUCUGUCGACGGCAGGGGCAGGCCUAGUUUGACUCUGACAGUCCUCCCACUA